UGAAUACGAGAUGCUACGGCGUCGAAGCAGUCUAUGUCAUACUUCCAAGAAAAGCUUGCACUGUCAUAAACAAUAAUGCCUGUACCAUAACCGACACAGGUGGGUAGGUAGAGUAUACUAAGGGGCGCGAGAUAACUCUCUCUAAGGAACUCGGCAAAAUGACUCCGUAACUUCGGGAGAAGGAGUGCCUUAUUUAUAAGGUUGCAAUAACAAGACCCAAGCAACUGUUUAUCAAAAACACAGGUCUCCGCUAAGUCGUAAGACGAUGUAUGGGGGCUGACGCCUGCCCAGUGCCAGAAGGUUAAAGAAGUUGGUUAGCAUUAGCGAAGCUGAUGACUGAAGCCCUGGUGAACGGCGGCCGUAACGAUAACGGUCCUAAGGUAGCGAAAUUCCUUGUCGGGUAAGUUCCGACCCGCACGAAAGGCGUAAUGAUUUGGGUACUGUCUCAGAGAGGGACUCGGUGAAAUAGACUUGUCUGUGAAGAUGCGGACUACCUGCACCUGGACAGAAAGACCCUAUGAAGCUUUACUGUAACCUGAAAUUGAAAUUGGACUUUAUUUGCGCAGUAUAGGUGGGAGGCUUUGAAGAUAUUCUUGCGGGAAUGUUGGAGCCAUCAGUGAGAUACCACUCUUGUAAUGUUAGAUUUCUAACUUUGUAUCAUUAUCUGGUCAAAGAACAGUUUCAGGCGGGCAGUUUGACUGGGGCGGUCGCCUCCUAAACGGUAACGGAGGCGCACAAAGGUUUCCUCUGAACGGGUAGAAAUCGUAUCUAGAGUGUAAAGGCAUAAGGAAGCUUGACUGUGAGACCUACAAGUCGAGCAGGGACGAAAGUCGGUCUUAGUGAUCUGACGGUGCUGAGUGGAAAGGCCGUCACUCAACGGAUAAAAGUUACUCUAGGGAUAACAGGCUGAUCUCCCCCAAGAGUUCACAUCGACGGGGAGGUUUGGCACCUCGAUGUCGGCUCAUCGCAUCCUGGGGCGGUAGUACGUCCCAAGGGUUGGGCUGUUCGCCCAUGAAAGCGGUACGCGAGCUGGGUUCAGAACGUCGUGAGACAGUUCGGUCCAUAUCCGGUGUAGGCGUUAGAAUAUUGAGAGGAGCCUUCUCUAGUACGAGAGGACCGAGAAGGACACACCUCUGGUGUACCAGUUAUCGUGCCAACGGUAAACGCUGGGUAGCUAUGUGUGGAGCGGAUAACCGCUGAAAGCAUCUAAGUGGGAAGCCCACCUCAAGAUAAGUAUUCUCAU
RNAcentral lists this ribosomal RNA (1243 nucleotides) under metagenome. RNAcentral's name for it is "bacterial LSU rRNA". It matches the Rfam family "Bacterial large subunit ribosomal RNA", at positions 1564 to 2817 of the family's 2925-position model. The record is from RNAcentral.